GCCGCUUCGUCGACCGGCGGACCAGCGUCCUGAUGCGGCGCUUACGAGAGAACGCGAUGCUCGAAGCUGAGAUCACUCCCGGCGGUGACG
Molecule: transfer RNA, 90 nt
Filed under: Methylobacterium gnaphalii
Lineage: Bacteria; Pseudomonadati; Pseudomonadota; Alphaproteobacteria; Hyphomicrobiales; Methylobacteriaceae
Description: tRNA-Ile
Source: RNAcentral